UACGGGGGGGGCAAGCGUUGUUCGGAAUUACUGGGCGUAAAGGGCUCGUAGGCGGCCGACUAAGUCAGACGUGAAAUCCCCCGGCUUAACCGGGGAACUGCGUCUGAUACUGGAUGGCUUGAGUUUGGGAGAGGGAUGCGGAAUUCCAGGUGUAGCGGUGAAAUGCGUAGAUAUCUGGAGGAACACCGGUGGCGAAGGCGGCAUCCUGGACCAACACUGACGCUGAGGAGCGAAAGCCAGGGGAGCAAACGGG
Molecule: ribosomal RNA, 253 nt
Filed under: uncultured bacterium
Lineage: Bacteria
Description: partial 16S ribosomal RNA
Rfam family: Bacterial small subunit ribosomal RNA
Source: RNAcentral